RNAcentral lists this ribosomal RNA (497 nucleotides) under uncultured bacterium. RNAcentral's name for it is "partial 16S ribosomal RNA". It matches the Rfam family "Bacterial small subunit ribosomal RNA", at positions 28 to 507 of the family's 1533-position model. The record is from RNAcentral.
GAUGAACGCUGGCGGCGUGCCUAAUACAUGCAAGUCGAGCGAACAGACGAGGAGCUUGCUCCUCUGACGUUAGCGGCGGACGGGUGAGUAACACGUGGAUAACCUACCUAUAAGACUGGGAUAACUUCGGGAAACCGGAGCUAAUACCGGAUAAUAUAUUGAACCGCAUGGUUCAAUAGUGAAAGACGGUUUUGCUGUCACUUAUAGAUGGAUCCGCGCCGCAUUAGCUAGUUGGUAAGGUAACGGCUUACCAAGGCAACGAUGCGUAGCCGACCUGAGAGGCUGAUCGGCCACACUGGAACUGAGACACGGUCCAGACUCCUACGGGAGGCAGCAGUAGGGAAUCUUCCGCAAUGGGCGAAAGCCUGACGGAGCAACGCCGCGUGAGUGAUGAAGGUCUUCGGAUCGUAAAACUCUGUUAUUAGGGAAGAACAAAUGUGUAAGUAACUAUGCACGUCUUGACGGUACCUAAUCAGAAGGCCACGGCUAACUACGUG